AACUCAACAGACACUUCACAGAAGAAGAAAUAUGGAUGGUCAAGAAAUAUAAGAAAAAAUGUUCAACAUCUCUAACAAUCAGAGAAAUACAAAUUAGAACUACACUGAGAUUUUAUCUCACUCUAGACAGAAUGGCAAUUGUCAAGAAUAUAGAUAAUAAUAAAUGUUGGUGAGGAUGUGGGGGAAAAGAUACACUCAUACAUUGCUGGUGGGACUGCAAAUUAGUGCAAGCACUCUAGAAAGCAGUGUGGAGAUUCUUCUGAAAACUUGGAAUGGAACCACCAUUUGACCCAGUCAUCCUACUCCUUGGCAUAUACCCAAAGGACUUAAAAACCACACACUAUAGUGAUGAGGCCACAUCAAUGUUCAUAGCAGCUCAAUUCACAAUAGCUAAGCUAUGGAACCAACCUAGGUGCCCUUCAAGAGAUAAAUGGAUAAAGAAAAUGUGGCAUACAUGUAAAAUAGAAUAUUUCUCAGUCAUAAAGAAGAAUGAAAUGAUGGCAUUUGCCGGUAAAUGGAUGAAACUGGAGGCUAUCAUGCUAAGUGAAAUGAGCCAAUUCCAAAAAAAUCAAAGGCUGAAUAUUCUCUCUGAUAUGCAGAUACUGACUCACAAUAGGCAAGGUGUGGGGGGAUGGAGGAGUGGAGG
RNAcentral lists this long non-coding RNA (646 nucleotides) under Marmota monax (woodchuck). Lineage: Eukaryota; Metazoa; Chordata; Mammalia; Rodentia; Sciuridae. The record is from RNAcentral.